AUCCAUCUGAGCACAGGCUUUGACUUGCCUUAGCAGCAAACUUUAGAGCAGACAGAAGAUGGAAUGGGGCUGACUGUGAACAGAAAUAUAAAGGUAUGCACAGAUGUAGGACUUUGUGAACUGCAUGGGGUAGGAGUCUUGAUUAGUGUUGCUGAGUAACAGAUUAAUUCCUUUAGCACUUUCCCGUAAACAUGUCUGACUGCUUAUGCAGGCAGGGGCUUUAAACCGAAUGCAUAACUUGAAUUCUGCCUCUCUUGUCCAUGUGAGCUGACAUCAGGUGUUCCUGCAGCCCAGUCCUUUUUUCUACUGUACCUGCCCUUCCCCUCAGUGGGGAUUUGUGCUCCAGACUGCCUCGCAGGACCAGUUUGCACAGGCUGUGAGAUCACAGCAGAGCUUUGCCUAUGUUUGCUCCCACCCAGAGAUCCAGGGGUGCAGCAGCUCUGGAUGGUGCUGUGGAACUGGAUGAUGAGCAGCAGCUCAGGUUUCCAGUACUGAAAGGGUUAGGGCUGCCUCCACUUCUGCCAACAGGAACCCUCCCAUUGAUUUUUCACUAGGAGCAAGUUCAGGCCCUUCUUCAGAAUGGCCUUUUUUUUAGCAGGGAGGUAAACCCUUUGUCUACAUCAUCACUGUCCUCUGCCAUGCUGGCCAUAGGUGGCAACAGUAAAGAUGACAUGAAAAGAAGUCACUGUGUUGCACUAGCAAGUGGGAAAAGUGCUGAGGUCUGCAUCACCCUAAAGAGCUGCCCAGUUCCCCGUGUGCCUGACCACUGGCCAAGAGGACAUCCAGAUCCAACCCCUGCAGGAAGGGGAGCUCUUCCCUUCCCUUUGGGUCAGCCAAAGUGGUUCUCCCCUUGCCCUGCAGGCAUGGAGCAGUGCAGAGAAUGAUCCUGCUCCAUCUGGGACACAGUGUGCCAGCAGUACUGGGGAAGGAAAAGGUUCUGUUCCUAACUGUGACCCUUGCUUUGACUUGUGUCUAUUGAUGGCAGCAAGGGCAGCUGCUGCUGGAGCUGGCAGUGCCUGAAAAGCUCUGUGCAUUCUGUUAAUGACUGAGCACUGAGAACCAUCAGCACUGUGACAUCUCAGACUGUGACUGAGAAAAAUCAGCAUGAACCUCAGCAUUAAAUUUUCCUCUUUGCGUAGUAUGCCCACGCAGCCUCAUGUAAAACUAAGUCAUUGAACUACCACCCUGGCUUAGCCAUAAGAGUUUGAGUCUCAUAUGCAGCACUGGGACCCCAUCACAGUGACAAGUGAUGGUGCUUCAGAGAGUAUUUCCUACAGGAGCUGUGUUCAAAUUUCUGCAAUUUCUACGUGGUUUCCAAAUUGAAAAUAUUCUGGUGGUGGAAUAAUACUUCUUUUCCAAUCUUUUGUUAUUCCCAGGUGCUUAAUUAAAUUUUAUGGGGACAAAAUAACAUGGUAUUUUAUGCACUGUUAUGAUGCGUGAGGUUUGUAAAAUUUAAUAAAAAAUUGGUGAAAGGACCUUGAGACA
This 1485-nucleotide long non-coding RNA is filed under the name Cyanistes caeruleus (blue tit). RNAcentral describes it as "lncRNA (ENSCCEG00000000931.1)". The record is from RNAcentral. Lineage: Eukaryota; Metazoa; Chordata; Aves; Passeriformes; Paridae.